AGCAGCCGCGGUAAUUCCAGCUCCAAUAGCGUGUAUUAAAGUUGUUGCAGUUAAAAAGCUCGUAGUUGAAUUUCGGGAUCAAUAUGUUGGUCGUGCCUCGGUACGUACUAGCUUAUUGGUUUCUCCUUUCUGAAGAACCAUGAUGUCAUUUAUUUGGUGUCGUGGGGAAUCAGGACUGUUACUUUGAAAAAAUUAGAGUGUUUAAAGCAGGCUCACGCUUGAAUACAUUAGCAUGGAAUAAUGAAAUAGGACGUUUGAUUCUAUUUUGUUGGUUUCUAGGAUCGACGUAAUGAUUAAUAGGGAUAGUUGGGGGCAUUAGUAUUCAAUUGUCAGAGGUGAAAUUCUUGGAUUUAUUGAAGACUAACUACUGCGAAAGCAUUUGCCAAGGAUGUUUUCAUUAAUCAAGAACGAAAGUUAGGGGAUCGAAGACGAUCAGAUACCGUCGUAGUCUUAACCAUAAACUAUGCCGACU
RNAcentral lists this unclassified non-coding RNA (472 nucleotides) under uncultured Glomus. RNAcentral describes it as "SSU rRNA". It matches the Rfam family "Eukaryotic small subunit ribosomal RNA", at positions 569 to 1047 of the family's 1831-position model. Lineage: Eukaryota; Fungi; Glomeromycota; Glomeromycetes; Glomerales; Glomeraceae. The record is from RNAcentral.